RNAcentral lists this ribosomal RNA (1828 nucleotides) under Lepisma saccharinum. Its description in RNAcentral is "Lepisma saccharina Eukaryotic small subunit ribosomal RNA". It matches the Rfam family "Eukaryotic small subunit ribosomal RNA". Lineage: Eukaryota; Metazoa; Arthropoda; Insecta; Zygentoma; Lepismatidae. The record is from Rfam by way of RNAcentral.
UACCUGGUGGAUCCUGCCAGUUGUCAUAUGCUCGUCUCAAAGCCUAAGCCAUGCAUGUCUCAGUACAUACUUUACCAAAGUGAAACCGCGAAUGGCUCAUUACAUCAGUUAUGGUUCCUUAGAUCGUACGCAUCCUACUUGGAUACCUGUGGCAAUUCCAGAGCUAAUACAUGCUACAGGUGUCUCCGGCCGGGCAACCGGACGGGGUGCCGUUACCAUUCAAAAGACCAAACGGUCCGCUUCUGCGGCCGACUCAUUUGGUGACUCUAAGUAACCUCUAGGCAGAUCGCACGGCAAGCACCGGCGAGCGCAUCUAUCAAAUGUCUGCCUCAUCACACUGUGGAUGGUGGGUUAUUGGCCCACCCUGGUGAUUACGGGUAACGGGGAAUCAGGGUUCGAUUCCGGAGAGGGAGCCUGAGAAACGGCUACCACAUCUAUGGAAGGCAGCAGGCACGCAAAUUACCCACUCCCGGCACGGGGAGGUAGUGACGAAAAAUAACGAUGCGGGACUCAUCCGAGGCCCCGUAAUCGGAAUGGAUCCACCCUAAACAGUUGGGUGAACCUAUCGGAGUGCAAGUCUGGUGCCAGCAGACGCCGGUAAGUCCAGCUCCGAUAGGCGUAUACUAAAGUUGCUGCGGUUAAAAAGCUCGUAGUUGGAUCUGGGUCUCGGGCGGUCGGUUCGCCGUCAGCGUGUCAACUGGCCGUACCGGACGUCUUCUCGGUUUCCCCGGUCUGCUCUUCACCGAGUGGACCGGGGGAUUCCGGGACGUUUACUUUGAACAAAUUAAAGUGCUCAAAGCAGGCUAUUCGCCUGGAUGCUGGUUGCAUGGAAUAAUGGAACAGGACCUCGGUUCUCUCUGUUGGUUUUCGAACCAGAGGUAAUGAUUAAAAGGGAUUGACGGGGGCUUGAGUAUUGCGAGGGGAGAGGUGAAAUUCUAGGAUCCUCGCAAGACUACCUACAGCGAAAGCAUUUGCCAAGAAUGUCUUCAUUAAUCAAGAACGAAAGUUAGAGGUUCGAAGGCGAUUAGAUACCGCCCUAGUUCUAACCAUAAACGAUGCCAUCCAGCGAUGCGCAAGGUUCAAGAACACCGUGCGCGCAGCCCCGGAAACCUGAGAUUUCGGGUUCCGGGGGGAGUAUGGUUGCAAAGCUGAAACUUAAAGGAAUUGACGGAAGGGCACCACAAGGCGUGGGACGUGCGGCUCAACUUGACUCAACACGGCAAACUUACCAGGCCCGGACACCGCAAGGAUUGACAGAUUGAGAGCUCUCUCGUGAUUCGUUGGAUGGUGGUGCAUGGCCGAUUUUAGUUGGUGGAGCGAUUUGUCUGCUUGAUUGCGAUAACGAACGAGACUCCUCCUAUUAACUAGGCGUCGGGGUAUGUGUUCCCCCGGCGCAUCAAACCUCUUCUUAGAGGGACCGGUUGUCGCAAGCAGCAAGAGUGGGAGCUAAAUCAGGUCAGUGAUGCCCUUCGAUGCCCUGGGCCGCACGCGCGUCACACUGAAGGAGACAACGCGUCUUCCCCUGCCGAGAGGUACGGGUAACCGCUGAACCUCCUUCGUGAUAGGGACCGGGGAUUGCAAUUAUUCCCCGCGAACGAGGAAUGCCCAGUAAGCGCGAGUCAUCAGCUCGCGUUGAUCGAGUCCCUGCCCUUUGUGCACACCGCCCGUCGAUGCAUCCGAUCGAGUGAUACGGUGAGGCCUUUGGACCGGCGCCUGCGGGGGUUCCACCUUCCGCAGGAACCGUCGGGAAGACGGCCGAACCUGGUCACUUAGAGGAAGCAAAAGUCGUAACAAGGUUUGGGUAGGUGAACCUGCAGAAGGAUCAUUA